AAAACAAAAAAAACAAAAGGACCCUAAACCGUGAAACUCAAAAACAUGACUCUGAGACUCUCUGCCUCGCCACUGUCCUCACACAAAACCACUCUCAGUGCCUUAUUCUCAAUGAGAAGUGAGAAUCGCACACCAAUCUUCUCUUCCUUCUCGGUUUCGCUCUCGCUCUCACAUUUCCAUCAUUCCAGGUUCUUCAUCGCUCAAAUCUCUUUCCAGUUUUCAUCUCAAUCUUAAUCGCGCUCUAAAUCCUUUUUCUCGGACAAGGUUGUGCUGAUUUCGAUUGAACUCAAUCGCGCUCUAGUAAUCAGGUUGAACUCGUAAUUCAUUGAUUUAGAAUCAAAGUUUCGAGGGUUUUCUUCGCCCAAUGACAUUAUCGGUUUCAGAUUUUGUACCUUUCAAAUAUGAAAGCAGAUGCUGUUCAAUUUAGUUCAAAAGAAAAUGGCCAAGAAAAUGUGGCGCUAAUUCCACAGCAUCCAUCACACGCUGAUUCCUACCACUUAUGCUAAAAUUGAGCGGUCACAAUUCAUAUUUAUGCCAGCUUUAAGGUUAGUAAUAAUUAACUACUCUAUUUUUACCUACUCUGACCAGGAGCAAGCAGUGCGAGUGGGCCAUAUGCUGUUUUUCUUUGCACAAAUGCUUCCCAUUUUGACCCAAAGUGUGCUUCCCACUCUUCCUGUGUGGUGUAAUGUGAGAAAUACGGCUUCACUCCAAAUUUGACAUUUGUGCAAAAUUCUAGUAUCCUUUUGUUUUGUGUUAGGAUGUGUUCUAAGCUCUCUGAGCCUCUUGAUAAUGGAAUUGCUGAAGAUAAAAAUGCCACUAGGUUACCUGAGUAUGGGGCUAUUGCGUGUGUCUUUGAGGAUAUUGCCAAAGACCUCUUGAGCAAAGUCAUGAAUGUGAGUCCUUGGGAUUAUUAGAAGGUUGAGCCAAGGGUGUGGAACUUCCCAUAAUCCCUUUUAUCUUAACUGUUUCUCAGAAACAUGCACUCUAUCUAGGAAUUGCACAUAAGAAACUUCUGAUUGGAAGAGACUAGUAAUGAAGAAUCAAUUCCAAAUUUCAAACAAUAUUUUCACCUUGACUAUCCUAAUUUUAUUUAUUUACCUUUUUAAUAUGAAUCCUUCAAUUCAUUUA
Molecule: non-coding RNA, 1128 nt
Organism: Arachis ipaensis
Lineage: Eukaryota; Viridiplantae; Streptophyta; Magnoliopsida; Fabales; Fabaceae
Source: RefSeq, a predicted model, not a curated record